GAUGGGAAGCGCUCCUUGCUAACGGAGCAGCGGCGGAACAGCGGAGCGCCGUGCUCGGUGGAGCAGAAAGCCGAAGCGAGCUUAGCGUGGGCAGGGGCGAGGAGAAUGCUUGAGCACUUGUGCGACGGCACUGCGAUUGCCGUGCUCGGCUCCAGGACUGCCGCGAGCUGCGCGAGGAGCAGCGCCGCGGGUCCCGGCGGCGAGGCGGGGAGGCGACGGCACGGCGGGCGGCUCCUACCGCUUCCUCGCGGCCGAGAGGAUCCGCCGGCCCGGGCAGGGCGCGCAGCCCGAGCGCAGCCCCGAGCACGCGCACGGUACCUGGGGGAGAGCGGGAGAAGUUGCGUCCGGUCGCGCUGACCGCCUGGAUGUAGAAGUAGCGCACGGGCAGGGCGAGCCCCGCUUCCAGCCCGGGGCCCCACACCAGGCUCCGCUCGGGACUGACGGCGGCCGAGCCCAGCAGCGGCAGAGCGGCGCCCAGCAGCAGCAGCGCGCAGCCCCGGCUGCCCAUGGCCGCGCCGCGCUGGAGCGGGGCCGGGGCCGGUGCCGGGGCCUCCUCCGGGCCUGCGCGGCCGGGCGGGCCCCGCGCCCGCUCCCCGCGGGCGACCGCCGCCCGCUCCCCCCCGCCCGCUCCACGCCCUGCGGGGCGGCCCGAGGGGGCCGGGGCCGGGCGAGGCCCGCGGCUGAGUGGCAGCGCAGCCCGCCCCGAGCCGGGGCUCCGCGAAGAAGUAGUAGCUGUCUGCUUUCCCCCAGCAACGCGUUACCGGUGUUCUUCGUAAGUCCGCCGCGGGGCAGAGCCGGAGCGUGCCCUGGGCUCCUGCCCUCUGCGUGCUGCGGGUGGGUCCCGUCAGCGCUGGAAGGGGAAGUGGCAUUGUUAUCUAGAAAAUUAAAAGUUCCGCAAAACAAAGCGAUUUUGUAAGUUUAACACGGUGGAAACGGGAAACACCCCUGAUGGUUUGUUUCCUAAAGUCGUAUGUUUUUUACCAGAAGCGUCUUUGCUUCCCUGGAAGCAUUCAAGGCCAGGCUGGAUGGGGCUGUGAGCAACUUGGUCUAGAGGGAGGUGUCCCUGCCUAUAGAAGGGGAUUGGGACUGGAUGACCUUAAAGGUCCCUUCCAGCCCAAACCAUUCUAUGAUUCUGCGAGGAAGUGAAGGUUCCAGUGGAUGUGGGGCUCAUAAGACCGUAAGGAAGACGCACAGUCUUUUCCGCAGCAUCCAUAAACAUCUUCAGACCAAAACACCACCAAGUCUGAUGACACUGUCUCUCCAACACCAAAAGGACCCCCUGAACGGCACUAAGCUAGCUCAAGCUUCUGCCAGGCGGACUUCUCCACAGGACUGACACUGCUGCCUACUGCCGUAUUUCUCUGACUCCGUGGAAUAACUCUACCUGGCGAGAGGCAGAUUAUUUCAGCACUCUGCCUAUGCAUCAAGCAAACCACAUGCCACGGCAACACCUAGAAGAGGGUGGGGGAAGUUUUCAACAGAGAGGCGUGGCUUGAAAAUGUGGCAAUCGGCUCAGCUACACGUCAGGACUGACUUGUUUAUUUUUCAAGCUGUGCGCUGCAAGAAACCAAAGGCAUCCGACUCUAAGAUAGGAUAGAUUUUCUGUAGAAUAGCGAGAUAAGUAGAUAUUAGAGGAGAUGAUGCAAUGAGCGGGCAUGACUUAUAUUUUUAAGAAACCAUUCCAGAGCUUAGCUCCAGCCUAACCCUUUUGCAUCAGCACGCUGGCACGAAGAGCUCCAGCUCCCUGAGCCAAGAGCCUGCUGGUGCAGCAGGAGGGACUGUGGGCACCCGCAGCCUUGUGCCACGUCCCAGCACAGGGGGCGGUCCCUGCCACGGGAAGGAGGAGGGAGCAGGUGACACGUACAGGUGUCUGCUAUAAAACUCUACAAAUGUUCUGUGGCUUUUUUUCCUAUGCUGUGUUGCUAUGUAGAACUGUUACCAGUAAACAUCCACAAAGCUAAUCUUGUUGCCUUUACUCGACCUCUCUUUACUUGCUUUGAUCCAAAC
This 2007-nucleotide long non-coding RNA is filed under the name Gallus gallus (chicken). Lineage: Eukaryota; Metazoa; Chordata; Aves; Galliformes; Phasianidae. The record is from RNAcentral.